GAGUUUGAUCUUGGCUCAGAUUGAACGCUGGCGGCAGGCCUAACACAUGCAAGCCGAGCGGAUGACGGGAGCUUGCUCCUUGAUUCAGCGGCGGACGGGUGAGUAAUGCCUAGGAAUCUGCCUGGUAGUGGGGGACAACGUUUCGAAAGGAACGCUAAUACCGCAUACGUCCUACGGGAGAAAGCAGGGGACCUUCGGGCCUUGCGCUAUCAGAUGAGCCUAGGUCGGAUUAGCUAGUUGGUGGGGUAAUGGCUCACCAAGGCGACGAUCCGUAACUGGUCUGAGAGGAUGAUCAGUCACACUGGAACUGAGACACGGUCCAGACUCCUACGGGAGGCAGCAGUGGGGAAUAUUGGACAAUGGGCGAAAGCCUGAUCCAGCCAUGCCGCGUGUGUGAAGAAGGUCUUCGGAUUGUAAAGCACUUUAAGUUGGGAGGAAGGGCAGUAAGUUAAUACCUUGCUGUUUUGACGUUACCGACAGAAUAAGCACCGGCUAACUCUGUGCCAGCAGCCG
Molecule: ribosomal RNA, 513 nt
Filed under: bacterium enrichment culture clone ALO1_GLFRUDD03F3STO
Lineage: Bacteria
Description: bacterial SSU rRNA
Rfam family: Bacterial small subunit ribosomal RNA
Source: RNAcentral